UACUGGCCUAGAAGAACUAAAUAUCUAUUGAAUGGAAAUGUAUAGUUCAGAAAAUAUAGGUCAGAGUAAUUUGCUUAGUAGAGUUGAGGUGAGGAAUCUGAGAAGGACUUUUACCUCAGUUUACCUGAGUUUCUAUCCUGUGUCAGGCUCUCCUGGAUAAUUCACACAUAUUACCUACUGCUAAAGGAUCUGAUGUAACCAAGGAAUCACUGAAGAUGAUAAUAACUUUUAAAAAUAGCAUUAAAUAUCAAGAGCACAAGAAUUUGCUAAGUCUGGAUUACAAGUGGGAAAUGCAUAAAGAUGCUGCCUAAGAAAAAUUGAGAACAAGUGGACUCACCUGCAUCGGAAUGGAGAUGGACAAUAAAACCUCGGUUGCUCGUUUGUA
This is a long non-coding RNA of Cavia porcellus (domestic guinea pig), 385 nucleotides long. RefSeq lists it as uncharacterized. NCBI's taxonomy places the organism in Eukaryota, Metazoa, Chordata, Mammalia, Rodentia, Caviidae. The transcript has 2 exons. The record is from RefSeq and is a predicted model, not a curated record.